UAGGGAAUCUUCCACAAUGGACGCAAGUCUGAUGGAGCAACGCCGCGUGAGUGAAGAAGGUUUUCGGACCGUAAAGCUCUGUUGUUGGUGAAGAAGGAUAGAGGUAGUAAACUGGCCCUUUAUUUGACGGUAAUCAACCAGAAAGUCACGGCUAACUACGUGCCAGCAGCCGCGGUAAUACGUAGGUGGCAAGCGUUGUCCGGAUUUAUUGGGCGUAAAGCGAGCGCAGGCGGAAGAAUAAGUCUGAUGUGAAAGCCCUCGGCUUAACCGAGGAAUUGCAUCGGAAACUGUUUUCUUGAGUGCAGAAGAGGAGAGUAGAACUCCAUGUGUAGCGGUGGAAUGCGUAGAUAUAUGGAAGAAUACCAGUGGCGAAGGCGGCUCUCUGGUCUGCAACUGACGCUGAGGCUCGA
RNAcentral lists this ribosomal RNA (410 nucleotides) under uncultured bacterium. RNAcentral's name for it is "partial 16S ribosomal RNA". It matches the Rfam family "Bacterial small subunit ribosomal RNA", at positions 355 to 756 of the family's 1533-position model. The record is from RNAcentral.